CACGUAGGGGGCAAGCGUUGUCCGGAUUUAUUGGGCGUAAAGCGCUCGUAGGUGGUUCGGUAAGUCGGGUGUUAAACCCCCAGGCUCAACCUGGGGACGCCACUCGAUACUGCUGUGACUAGAGUCCGGUAGGGGAGCGUGGAAUUCCUGGUGUAGCGGUGAAAUGCGCAGGUAUCAGGAGGAACACCAGCGGCGAAGGCGGCGCUCUGGGCCGGUACUGACACUGAGGAGCGAAAGCGUGGGUAGCAAACAGG
RNAcentral lists this ribosomal RNA (254 nucleotides) under uncultured bacterium. Its description in RNAcentral is "partial 16S ribosomal RNA". It matches the Rfam family "Bacterial small subunit ribosomal RNA", at positions 524 to 776 of the family's 1533-position model. The record is from RNAcentral.